AAGACCUCGCGCUAUUAGAGCGGCCGACGCCCGAUUAGCUAGUUGGUGAGGUAAUGGCCCACCAAGGCAACGAUCGGUAGCUGGUCUGAGAGGAUGAUCAGCCACACUGGGACUGAGACACGGCCCAGACUCCUACGGGAGGCAGCAGUGGGGAAUUUUGGACAAUGGGCGAAAGCCUGAUCCAGCCAUGCCGCGUGAGUGAAGAAGGCCUUCGGGUUGUAAAGCUCUUUCAGCCGGAACGAAAUCGUCCGGGCUAAUACUCCGGAUGGAUGACGGUACUGGAAGAGGAAGCACCGGCUAACUACGUGCCAGCAGCCGCGGUAAUACGUAGGGUGCAGGCGUUAAUCGGAAUUACUGGGCGUAAAGCGUGCGCAGGCGGCUUUUCAAGUCAGAUGUGAAAUCCCCGGGCUUAACCUGGGAACU
This 423-nucleotide ribosomal RNA is filed under the name uncultured bacterium. RNAcentral's name for it is "bacterial SSU rRNA". It matches the Rfam family "Bacterial small subunit ribosomal RNA", at positions 202 to 622 of the family's 1533-position model. The record is from RNAcentral.